UACGUAGGGGGCAAGCGUUGUCCGGAAUCAUUGGGCGUAAAGAGCGUGUAGGCGGCCAGAUAAGUCCGCUGUGAAAUCUCGAGGCUCAACUUCGAGCUGUCGGUGGAAACUGUCUGGCUAGAGUCCGGAAGAGGAGAAUGGAAUUCCUGGUGUAGCGGUGAAAUGCGCAGAUAUCAGGAAGAACACCAAUGGCGAAGGCAGCUCUCUGGGACGGUACUGACGCUGAGACGCGAAAGCGUGGGGAGCGAACAGG
RNAcentral lists this ribosomal RNA (253 nucleotides) under uncultured bacterium. RNAcentral describes it as "partial 16S ribosomal RNA". It matches the Rfam family "Bacterial small subunit ribosomal RNA", at positions 524 to 776 of the family's 1533-position model. The record is from RNAcentral.